ACCUGGCUGGCUCAGCCAGUAGAGCAUGCAACUCUUGAUCUCACAGUUAUGAGUUCAAAUCCCACGUUGGGUG
This 73-nucleotide transfer RNA is filed under the name Ailuropoda melanoleuca (giant panda). It matches the Rfam family "tRNA". From Rfam's summary of the family: Transfer RNA (tRNA) molecules are approximately 80 nucleotides in length. Their secondary structure includes four short double-helical elements and three loops (D, anti-codon, and T loops). The record is from Rfam by way of RNAcentral. Lineage: Eukaryota; Metazoa; Chordata; Mammalia; Carnivora; Ursidae.